GAUGAACGCUAGCGGCAGGCUUAACACAUGCAAGUCGAGGGGUAUAGUUCUUCGGAAUUAGAGACCGGCGCACGGGUGCGUAACGCGUAUGCAAUCUACCUUUUACAGAGGGAUAGCCCAGAGAAAUUUGGAUUAAUACCUCAUAGCAUUGCAGAAUGGCAUCAUUCAGCAAUUAAAGUCACAACGGUGAAAGAUGAGCAUGCGUCCCAUUAGCUAGUUGGUAAGGUAACGGCUUACCAAGGCUACGAUGGGUAGGGGUCCUGAGAGGGAGAUCCCCCACACUGGUACUGAGACACGGACCAGACUCCUACGGGAGGCAGCAGUGAGGAAUAUUGGUCAAUGGACGCAAGUCUGAACCAGCCAUGCCGCGUGCAGGAUGACGGUCCUAUGGAUUGUAAACUGCUUUUGUACGGGAAGAAACCCUCCUACGUGUAGGAGCUUGACGGUACCGUAAGAAUAAGGAUCGGCUAACUCCGUGC
Molecule: ribosomal RNA, 479 nt
Filed under: uncultured bacterium
Lineage: Bacteria
Description: bacterial SSU rRNA
Rfam family: Bacterial small subunit ribosomal RNA
Source: RNAcentral